GAGCCAGUUUUAAGGGCCGCGUCGUAUCCUUCUUACUUCUUUUUUGCGCACUAAUCCUUCAUUUUUUAUGUUGUUUAUGGGACAAGAUUUACUUAAAUAAUAGGAAGAGAUUAAGUUGUUCAUUUUCUUUCAUAGCUCUUUGGGUGUGUUAGGUGAUUGGAAUAAAUGAGGUUAUGUUUUGAAAUACAGUGAGUGCUUAUUUAGCUACAUAUAACUAAAC
This 220-nucleotide unclassified non-coding RNA is filed under the name Hevea brasiliensis (rubber tree). The record is from RNAcentral. Lineage: Eukaryota; Viridiplantae; Streptophyta; Magnoliopsida; Malpighiales; Euphorbiaceae.